GACGAACGCUGGCGGCGCGCUUAACACAUGCAAGUCGAACGGAAAGGCCCUGCUUUUGUGGGGUGCUCGAGUGGCGAACGGAUGAGUAACACGUGAGUAACCUGCCCUUGACUUUGGGAUAACUUCAGGAAACUGGGGCUAAUACCGGAUAGGAGCUCCUGCUGCAUGGUGGGGGUUGGAAAGUUUCGGCGGUUGGGGAUGGACUCGCGGCUUAUCAGCUUGUUGGUGGGGUAGUGGCUUACCAAGGCUUUGACGGGUAGCCGGCCUGAGAGGGUGACCGGCCACAUUGGGACUGAGAUACGGCCCAGACUCCUACGGGAGGCAGCAGUGGGGAAUAUUGCACAAUGGGCGGAAGCCUGAUGCAGCAACGCCGCGUGCGGGAUGACGGCCUUCGGGUUGUAAACCGCUUUCGCCUGUGACGAAGCGUGAGUGACGGUAAUGGGUAAAGAAGCACCGGCUAACUACGUG
This 468-nucleotide ribosomal RNA is filed under the name uncultured bacterium. RNAcentral's name for it is "partial 16S ribosomal RNA". It matches the Rfam family "Bacterial small subunit ribosomal RNA", at positions 28 to 507 of the family's 1533-position model. The record is from RNAcentral.